UAGGGAAUCUUCCGCAAUGGACGAAAGUCUGACGGAGCAACGCCGCGUGAGUGAAGAAGGUUUUCGGAUCGUAAAACUCUGUUGUUAGAGAAGAAUGAGUGAGAGAGUAACUGAUCUCACAGUGACGGUAACUAACCAGAAAGCCACGGCUAACUACGUGCCAGCAGCCGCGGUAAUACGUAGGUGGCAAGCGUUGUCCGGAUUUAUUGGGCGUAAAGCGAGCGCAGGCGGUUUCUUAAGUCUGAUGUGAAAGCCCCCGGCUUAACCGGGGAGGGUCAUUGGAAACUGGGAGACUUGAGUGCAGAAGAGGAGAGUGGAAUUCCAUGUGUAGCGGUGAAAUGCGUAGAUAUAUGGAGGAACACCAGUGGCGAAGGCGACUCUCUGGUCUGUAACUGACGCUGAGGCUCGAAAGCGUGGGGAGCAAACA
RNAcentral lists this ribosomal RNA (427 nucleotides) under uncultured bacterium. RNAcentral's name for it is "bacterial SSU rRNA". It matches the Rfam family "Bacterial small subunit ribosomal RNA", at positions 355 to 774 of the family's 1533-position model. The record is from RNAcentral.